CUGAGUCUAUACCCUUCUGUAACCCCCUAGAGUUUUACGCAGUGUUAUACAAGUUCAGUGCAGUACUGUAGUUUUCCUGUAGGGGCCACUGUAUGAUCUGGUUAAUAGAGAUGUAAAGAUUAGGAGAAGGAGACUGAUCGUGGCUGGUACGCACGAGGUGAUUUAGCGCUGCAUUUGAAAUAUUAUAAUUAUAACUUCACAAAAGUACUUUUCUGAUGUUUAAAUGUGUAAACUUUUCAUAUAAAUUGCAGUAUGUUCAUGGAUUUCAAAAGGAAAUCGAAUUCACAUUGAUGUUGAUUGAGAAGUUAUUUCUGCGAACUCUGACUGUUUUUUUUUGUUGCCCGAUUCCAUCCGGUGACCUGAUCAACUGUGAGCUUAUGUGAGCUAUGGCGAGCCAGACCCUGUGAUUCUGUGAAGGCCUUACUGUUGACGUUCAACUCGAACCUGUCUUCAUCGAGGGAUUCUUUCCAAUUACAGCUAAGCUGUCAUUUUACACACACUACCCGGGUAGUAGGGAAAAGGCCUUAUACAUACAUUCGUUUUAUACCACUCACCAACUUGCGAAGGAACCAGGAGGACUUUUGGACAUUUUCUUUUCUUUACUUCUUUCUUUUCUUCUUUCUCGGACCUUUUAUGCACAACCUGGACUAAAUAUCGAAUUUUUCCCAUUCCAGCAGUGUUGUGUUGGGACGAUACAGCAAAGUAUUAACUUGUUUCUUCUAUUAUUAUUUUUUUUUUUCUGUUUAUAUGUGCAAUAAAUGUGCUGGCUGUUACCUGCUUCAUACCA
Ctenopharyngodon idella (grass carp) is the source of this 787-nucleotide long non-coding RNA. RefSeq lists it as uncharacterized. The transcript has 2 exons. Lineage: Eukaryota; Metazoa; Chordata; Actinopteri; Cypriniformes; Xenocyprididae. The record is from RefSeq and is a predicted model, not a curated record.